AUUAAUACAUUUUGGCCACAAUUCUCUAAAUAAUUACUUUAGUCUAGUGGUGUAAUGUAUACAUGGUAUUUCAAUGGAUGAAUCCGGAUUCGAGUAUUUUCAAAACCAUAUUUUGUUUAAAAAAGAAACCAAUUUUCUUUUUGCUUCUAGCCAUGUAAUUUUCACGACCGGUUUUGUUUCUAGCAAUUGAUUAACUAAUAUUUCUACUUAUGAAUGAGCCUUAAUUUUCUUACUUGUUUCCAG
Molecule: long non-coding RNA, 243 nt
Filed under: Brassica rapa (field mustard)
Lineage: Eukaryota; Viridiplantae; Streptophyta; Magnoliopsida; Brassicales; Brassicaceae
Description: long non-coding RNA (BRAP_LNC004240)
Source: RNAcentral